Molecule: transfer RNA, 66 nt
Filed under: marine eukaryotic metagenome
Rfam family: tRNA
About the family: Transfer RNA (tRNA) molecules are approximately 80 nucleotides in length. Their secondary structure includes four short double-helical elements and three loops (D, anti-codon, and T loops).
Source: RNAcentral
CAGUAGCUCAGCUGGAUAGAGCAACGGCCUUCUAAGCCGUAGGUCGCAGGUUCGAGUCCUGCCUGG